AUUGCACAAUGGGCGCAAGCCUGAUGCAGCGACGCCGCGUGAGGGAUGACGGCCUUCGGGUUGUAAACCUCUUUCAGUAGGGAAGAAGCGAAAGUGACGGUACCUGCAGAAGAAGCACCGGCUAACUACGUGCCAGCAGCCGCGGUAAUACGUAGGGUGCGAGCGUUAUCCGGAAUUAUUGGGCGUAAAGAGCUCGUAGGCGGUUUGUCGCGUCUGUCGUGAAAGUCCGGGGCUUAACCCCGGAUCUGCGGUGGGUACGGGCAGACUAGAGUGCAGUAGGGGAGACUGGAAUUCCUGGUGUAGCGGUGGAAUGCGCAGAUAUCAGGAGGAACACCGAUGGCGAAGGCAGGUCUCUGGGCUGUAACUGACGCUGAGGAGCGAAAGCAUGGGGAGCGAACAGGAUUAGAUACCCUGGUAGUCCAUGCCGUAAACGUUGGGCACUAGGUGUGGGGACCAUUCCACGGUUUCCGCGCCGCAGCUAACGCAUUAAGUGCCCCGCCUGGGGAGUACGGCCGCAAGGCUAAAACUCAAAGGAAUUGACGGGGGCCCGCACAAGCGGCGGAGCAUGCGGAUUAAUUCGAUGCAACGCGAAGAACCUUACCAAGGCUUGACAUGUUCUCGAUCGCCGUAGAGAUACGGUUUCCCCUUUGGGGCGGGUUCACAGGUGGUGCAUGGUUGUCGUCAGCUCGUGUCGUGAGAUGUUGGGUUAAGUCCCGCAACGAGCGCAACCCUCGUUCCAUGUUGCCAGCACGUCGUGGUGGGGACUCAUGGGAGACUGCCGGGGUCAACUCGGAGGAAGGUGAGGACGACGUCAAAUCAUCAUGCCCCUUAUGUCUUGGGCUUCACGCAUGCUACAAUGGCCGGUACAAUGGGUUGCGAUACUGUGAGGUGGAGCUAAUCCCAAAAAGCCGGUCUCAGUUCGGAUUGGGGUCUGCAACUCGACCCCAUGAAGUCGGAGUCGCUAGUAAUCGCAGAUCAGCAACGCUGCGGUGAAUACGUUCCC
RNAcentral lists this ribosomal RNA (1003 nucleotides) under Micrococcus luteus. RNAcentral's name for it is "bacterial SSU rRNA". It matches the Rfam family "Bacterial small subunit ribosomal RNA", at positions 363 to 1375 of the family's 1533-position model. The record is from RNAcentral. Lineage: Bacteria; Bacillati; Actinomycetota; Actinomycetes; Micrococcales; Micrococcaceae.